RNAcentral lists this ribosomal RNA (441 nucleotides) under uncultured bacterium. RNAcentral's name for it is "partial 16S ribosomal RNA". It matches the Rfam family "Bacterial small subunit ribosomal RNA", at positions 338 to 795 of the family's 1533-position model. The record is from RNAcentral.
CCUACGGGAGGCAGCAGUGGGGAAUAUUGCACAAUGGGGGGAACCCUGAUGCAGCGACGCCGCGUGGGUGAAGGAGUAUUUCGGUAUGUAAAGCCCUAUCAGCAGGGAAGAACAAUGACGGUACCUGACUAAGAAGCACCUGCGAAAUACGUGCCAGCAGCCGCGGUAAUACGUAUGGUGCAAGCGUGAACCGGAUUUACUGGGUGUAAAGGGAGCGCAGGCGGCGCGUUAAGCCUGGGGUGAAAGCUCGCGGCCCAACCGCGGGACGGCAGUGGAAACUGGCGGGCGGGAGUGCCGGAGGGGUAGGCGGAAUGCCUAGUGUAGCGGUGAAAUGCGUAGAUAUUAGGAGGAACACCAGUGGCGAAGGCGGCCUACUGGAGGGUGACUGACGCUGAGGCUCGAAAGCGUGGGGAGCGAACAGGAUUAGAUACCCUAGUAGUC